GGGGUUGUGGCUCAGUGGUAGAGCACUUGCCUAGCAUGUAUGAGGUUCUAUCUGGGUUUGAUCCUCAGCACCA
This 73-nucleotide transfer RNA is filed under the name Ictidomys tridecemlineatus (thirteen-lined ground squirrel). RNAcentral describes it as "Spermophilus tridecemlineatus (thirteen-lined ground squirrel) tRNA". It matches the Rfam family "tRNA". Rfam says of the family: Transfer RNA (tRNA) molecules are approximately 80 nucleotides in length. Their secondary structure includes four short double-helical elements and three loops (D, anti-codon, and T loops). Lineage: Eukaryota; Metazoa; Chordata; Mammalia; Rodentia; Sciuridae. The record is from Rfam by way of RNAcentral.